CCUUCCUUGGCUACAAACUGGUCACCAAGGAAGGCCUAGCCCAAACUACCACAACAUCCAAACUGGAUUUUUGUGUAAGAGUUCCUCGAAAGAACAUCAGGUAACAGACACGAAUAGAAAUGGUAAUAACCAACAGCCAUAGUUUCUGGAGCAUGUUCCUAAGAAGAUAUAUUUUAAAUAUAUCCCUGAGAAAAGGUGACCCUGAUUUUUAGCUGUAAUGACCCCAAAACCUCCUGCAAGAUCAUCAGCACCCAAGUGGACCUAUAUCAGAGGUUUCAACAUAUCCCACAGCAGUCCAAUGGCUCCAAGCAGAACUGAUAUGCAGUAAAACCAGCACAAUCUCUAUCCUGUGUACAAAGAACAUCCUUCAAAAUGAGUGCAACUGACUUGGCAGAAAGAAAGCCAGACUGCAGCCUGGCAUGGCCAGCCUUCCUGAACCUAUCAGCGGCAUACCAAGAUAUGUGUCAGCAGCAGCAGCAGAGCAUCUAUGUUUCAACCUCCCACUUGUACUGAGCUGUUUCUCUCCCCCUGUGCUCACUCCCCUUGGAGUGCAGGGGCAGGAUGCUCCUCAGUGCCCAGCAAAGAUGCAGCAUAUGUAUGUGAUAUCUUGGUUGCAGUAUUCUUCAUCACUAAGAAGAUUUUUUGGUGCCAAAAGUUUAAGAAGAUUGUGGGACUGACUGAAAUCAGAACUGAAGACGUUUGAUCAGAAAAAAUGGUGAAGAUUUCAGAGCUUACAAAACAAAUGCAGUGAUUUUCUUGGCCCUGUUCUCUAAACCUUUUUUCCCCCAGGAAAACCUUUGCAGCCUCAACCCACUCCAUAAACAGGAGAUGGCUGCGCAUAUAAAAAAAUCCUAACAUGUGAGAACUUGGCAGAAUGUAGUCUCCACUGGGAUGCUGAAAACUGUACAGCUUUGCAAUGCAGAGCUGCACCAAAUUGGAGAAGAGCACUCGAGGCAUUUUUAUUUGUGUACAACUAGCAGAAACUUUUAUUUUUAUUUAGUUUUGUAUCUAGGCCAAGCACAAGAGAAGCAAGCAUAUCUUAGUGCUGUAUUAGUGUGAUCAUUGUGCUAGAAAUUACCAUAUUCUGUGAUUCUGUAAUUUUUCUUUUACAAUACUACUUCUGUAACUUGGCUGCCAAAAAAGGUAAAAUUUUGCCAAAUCUUUUGCUCAAAAUUGUGUAAAAUCUAUGUUGCACAUUCAUACCAGCUUAGAUUAACACCACUGUGUACAGUGGGGACUCAAUGGUUUUUGUAUGUGAUGCUAUAUAUAUUAAACUUUUUUGAUAAAUCAGUUGUUGUCUUCUACAUUUAAUAAAGACAUGCAAAUACUGCA
Long non-coding RNA from Chiroxiphia lanceolata (lance-tailed manakin), 1332 nucleotides. RefSeq lists it as uncharacterized. The record is from RefSeq and is a predicted model, not a curated record. The transcript is spliced from 4 exons. NCBI's taxonomy places the organism in Eukaryota, Metazoa, Chordata, Aves, Passeriformes, Pipridae.